This 379-nucleotide long non-coding RNA is filed under the name Mytilus galloprovincialis (Mediterranean mussel). The record is from RNAcentral. Lineage: Eukaryota; Metazoa; Mollusca; Bivalvia; Mytilida; Mytilidae.
GCUAUAAGUCAACUAUAUUUGGUGUAUGGAAAUAUUAUAUGAUCUGUAUGUCAGUCGCGCAGAUUUUAUUUUACCUCGACCUCAUUUUCACGGUUCAUUGCUCAGUGUUAAGUUUUUGUGUUUUGGUCUAUUUUUCUUAAACUAUAAGUAAGAGGUCAACUAUAUUUGUUGUAUGAAAGCAUUGUUAGCUGUACAUGUCUGUCUGGCAUGUUUCAUCUGACCUUGACCUCAUUUUCAUGGUUCAUUGGUCUUUGUUAUCUUGGUUAAUGUUAAGUUAUGUGACAGUUGUUAUAAAGCUUUAUACUUAAGACUAUCAACAUAAUAUCAAUGAUUAGUAAAGAAGGCGAGACAUUUCAGCGUGUGCACUCUUGUUUAUAUU